AUGUACUCUGACCCUGGAUUAGCCGGCAGGGAAAACACCGAGAAGGUGAUUAGGCUACCUCGUAGUGGCCAAAUUUCUGUUUCCGUAGGUCUCAGAUGGAGCCCAAGAUUCUGCAUCUUUCACAAGCUUCCGAGGGUGUGGAUGCUGCGGGUCCUAGGACUGCCUUUGGGUGGUGAGGAUCCAGAUGCUCUGGAUGCGGCUGGAGAUGCUAGAAUAAACAUGCAGGGCCUGGCCAGAAAGGCAGAUACAACAUAUGGCACAUACUUCAUCAUCACCGAUCCCAUCCAUUCUCAACACAUUUUGGAGGAACUUGCUGAUGGGUUACAUAGAGGAGUUGAGGGAAACGCAGGAGUCAGGAAUGACUUCAAGUAUUUUGGUCUCCGUGACUCGCAAAUGGUGAUAUCAACAAUGAAAUCUAGAGGGAUGGGACACCUGGGUGGCUCAGUGGCUGAAUGUCUGCCUUCAGCUCAGGACAUGAUCUCAGGGGUCCUGGGAUCGAGUCCCACAUCAGGCUUCCAGCAGGGAGCCUGCUUUUCCCUCUGCCUAUGUCUCUGCCUCUCUCUGUGUCUCUCAUGAAUAAAUAAAUAAAUAAAAUCUUUUUUAAAAAUGAGAUCUAGAG
Molecule: long non-coding RNA, 619 nt
Filed under: Vulpes vulpes (red fox)
Lineage: Eukaryota; Metazoa; Chordata; Mammalia; Carnivora; Canidae
Description: lncRNA (ENSVVUG00000029851.1)
Source: RNAcentral